GAUGAACGCUGGCGGCGUGCCUAAUACAUGCAAGUCGAGCGAACGGACGAGAAGCUUGCUUCUCUGAUGUUAGCGGCGGACGGGUGAGUAACACGUGGAUAACCUACCUAUAAGACUGGGAUAACUUCGGGAAACCGGAGCUAAUACCGGAUAAUAUUUUGAACCGCAUGGUUCAAAAGUGAAAGACGGUCUUGCUGUCACUUAUAGAUGGAUCCGCGCUGCAUUAGCUAGUUGGUAAGGUAACGGCUUACCAAGGCAACGAUGCAUAGCCGACCUGAGAGGGUGAUCGGCCACACGGGAACUGAGACACGGUCCAGACUCCUGCGAGAGGCAGCAGUAGGGAAUCGUACGCAAUGGGCGAAAGCCUGACGGAGCAACGCCGCGUGAGUGAUGAAGGUCUUCGGAUCGUAAAACUCUGUUAUGAGGGAAGAACAUAUGUGUAAGUAACUGUGCACAUCUUGACGGUACCUAAUCAGAAAGCCACGGCUAACUACGUG
RNAcentral lists this ribosomal RNA (497 nucleotides) under uncultured bacterium. Its description in RNAcentral is "partial 16S ribosomal RNA". It matches the Rfam family "Bacterial small subunit ribosomal RNA", at positions 28 to 507 of the family's 1533-position model. The record is from RNAcentral.